UACAUGAAGCUGGAAUCGCUAGUAAUCGCGAAUCAGAAUGUCGCGGUGAAUACGUUCCCGGGUCUUGUACACACCGCCCGUCACACCAUGGGAGUCGGAAAUGCCCGAAGUCAGUGACCCAACCGUAAGGAGGGAGCUGCCGAAGGUGGAGCCGGUAACUGGGGUGAAGUCGUAACAAGGUACC
RNAcentral lists this ribosomal RNA (184 nucleotides) under uncultured bacterium. Its description in RNAcentral is "partial 16S ribosomal RNA". It matches the Rfam family "Bacterial small subunit ribosomal RNA", at positions 1317 to 1500 of the family's 1533-position model. The record is from RNAcentral.